AGUGAACGCUGGCGGUAGGCCUAACACAUGCAAGUCGAACGGCAGCACAGGAGAGCUUGCUCUCUGGGUGGCGAGUGGCGGACGGGUGAGGAAUACAUCGGAAUCUACUUUCUCGUGGGGGAUAACGUAGGGAAACUUACGCUAAUACCGCAUACGACCUACGGGUGAAAGCAGGGGACCUUCGGGCCUUGCGCGAUGGAAUGAGCCGAUGUCGGAUUAGCUAGGUGGCGGGGUAAAGGCCCACCAAGGCGACGAUCCGUAGCUGGUCUGAGAGGAUGAUCAGCCACACUGGAACUGAGACACGGUCCAGACUCCUACGGGAGGCAGCAGUGGGGAAUAUUGGACAAUGGGCGCAAGCCUGAUCCAGCCAUACCGCGUGGGUGAAGAAGGCCUUCGGGUUGUAAAGCCCUUUUGUUGGGAAAGAAAUCCAGCUGGCUAAUACCCGGUUGGGAUGACGGUACCCAAAGAAUAAGCACCGGCUAACUUCGUGCCAGCAGCCGCAGUAA
This 506-nucleotide ribosomal RNA is filed under the name uncultured bacterium. Its description in RNAcentral is "partial 16S ribosomal RNA". It matches the Rfam family "Bacterial small subunit ribosomal RNA", at positions 29 to 523 of the family's 1533-position model. The record is from RNAcentral.